Molecule: ribosomal RNA, 128 nt
Filed under: Lactobacillus sp. NGRI 0001
Lineage: Bacteria; Bacillati; Bacillota; Bacilli; Lactobacillales; Lactobacillaceae
Description: partial 23S rRNA
Rfam family: Bacterial large subunit ribosomal RNA
Source: RNAcentral
GGUUAAGUUAAAAAGGGCGCAUGGUGGAUGCCUUGGCACUAGAAGCCGAUGAAGGACGGGACUAACACCGAUAUGCUUCGGGGAGCUGUACGUAAGCUUUGAUCCGGAGAUUUCCGAAUGGGGGAACC